UACGUAGGGGGCUAGCGUUGUCCGGAAUCAUUGGGCGUAAAGCGCGCGUAGGCGGUCAGGUAAGUCCGGUGUGAAAGUCAAAGGCUCAACCUUUGAAUGCCGCUGGAUACUGCUUGACUUGAGUCCGGAAGGGGCGAGUGGAAUUCCUGGUGUAGCGGUGAAAUGCGCAGAUAUCAGGAGGAACACCUAUUGCGAAGGCAGCUCGCUGGGACGUUACUGACGCUGAGACGCGAAAGCGUGGGGAGCGAACAGG
RNAcentral lists this ribosomal RNA (253 nucleotides) under uncultured bacterium. RNAcentral describes it as "partial 16S ribosomal RNA". It matches the Rfam family "Bacterial small subunit ribosomal RNA", at positions 524 to 776 of the family's 1533-position model. The record is from RNAcentral.